AAUCAAUUUAAUUUUCAUUCCGAUUGAAGUGAAUUAGUAAACAACUUAUAUGAACUCAACAUCAUUCAUACUCGAUUUCAGACUUAUUUUGAUUACGCAUUAGUAAACGCACCAUUAAUAUAAUUCAAUUCGUAAAUGAAAAAUAAUGGAUUUCUUGGAAAUUUGUCAGAUCUUAGUUCCCACCUCAGUUCUGCGGGACCGACCCAUCAACCGAGCUGGCGCCCUCUAAUUCGUGACCAGAGUAAGCGCCAAAAGCGCGUCCAUGUCCGACAGCGCCACCAGAGCUGAUCUGUCCCUCCUUCACCCCCUUAAAAUUCCUCCGAAAAUCCUACCGUCUCGUCACAAUCUCACUUCCUCACUCCCUCCCUCCUCAGUUCUCCUCACACCCCCACGACUCCACCACACCCCCAAUGGCAUCCGAAAUCGACACCGCCAGAUCCGGAUCCUUAACCUCCAACGGCUCCGCCCCUGAUCCGCCGGAGCACCGCAAGGUCGCACUCAUCACCGGCAUCACCGGCCAAGACGGCUCCUACCUCACCGAAUUCCUCAUCGAAAAAGGCUACGACGUCUACGGCCUGAUCCGACGCUCCUCCAACUUCAACACCCAGCGCAUCAACCACAUCUACAUCGACCCCCACAACGCCCACAAGGCCCGCAUGAAGCUCCACUACGCCGACCUCAGCGACGCCUCCUCCCUCCGCCGCUGGCUCGACACCAUCGCCCCCA
This 726-nucleotide long non-coding RNA is filed under the name Malus domestica (apple). RNAcentral's name for it is "long non-coding RNA (MDOM_LNC001538)". The record is from RNAcentral. Lineage: Eukaryota; Viridiplantae; Streptophyta; Magnoliopsida; Rosales; Rosaceae.